CCUACGGGGGGCAGCAGUGGGGAAUAUUGGACAAUGGGGGCAACCCUGAUCCAGCAAUGCCGCGUGAGUGAUGAAGGCCUUAGGGUUGUAAAGCUCUUUUACCAGGGAUGAUAAUGACAGUACCUGGAGAAUAAGCUCCGGCUAACUCCGUGCCAGCAGCCGCGGUAAUACGGAGGGAGCUAGCGUUGUUCGGAAUUACUGGGCGUAAAGCGCACGUAGGCGGCUUUGUAAGUUAGAGGUGAAAGCCUGGAGCUUAACUCCAGAAUUGCCUUUAAGACUGCAUCGCUUGAAUCCGGGAGAGGUGAGUGGAAUUCCGAGUGUAGAGGUGAAAUUCGUAGAUAUUCGGAAGAACACCAGUGGCGAAGGCGGCUCACUGGACCGGUAUUGACGCUGAGGUGCGAAAGCGUGGGGAGCAAACAGGAUUAGAUACCCCGGUAGUCUA
RNAcentral lists this ribosomal RNA (442 nucleotides) under uncultured Sphingomonas sp. Its description in RNAcentral is "bacterial SSU rRNA". It matches the Rfam family "Bacterial small subunit ribosomal RNA", at positions 338 to 797 of the family's 1533-position model. Lineage: Bacteria; Pseudomonadati; Pseudomonadota; Alphaproteobacteria; Sphingomonadales; Sphingomonadaceae. The record is from RNAcentral.